This 1035-nucleotide long non-coding RNA is filed under the name Calidris pygmaea (Spoon-billed sandpiper). RNAcentral's name for it is "lncRNA (ENSCPGG00000011748.1)". Lineage: Eukaryota; Metazoa; Chordata; Aves; Charadriiformes; Scolopacidae. The record is from RNAcentral.
AUGAGGGGUGGUGGGGCUGGGGGGGGAGGUUGCUCACCCAGGGCCCCCAGCUGGGUGUGGUGGUCCCUCUUGCUGCCCUUGGCUGGGCUUGGGCUGCCAGCAGGCUGGCGGUCCUCCGUCCAUCUGUCUGUCCCCUCAUUAGGAUGCACAGUGAAGAGGGGGGCGCUGUGGAGUGUCAGUUGGGGGGGACACAGUUGGAGUGUCACCCUUCACCAGCGGGGCACUGUGGGGGCUGAUUUCAUGGCACAGCUGGGUCCCUGCCAGGGUCACGGCUCCGGUGCUGCCGCAGGAUGGAGCUGGCAGGGGCCAUGCCCCGGGAGCGAUGCUGGAGGCUCCCGCAGCGGCCGGCAGACCCUGAACCCCCCUGCCCCACGGGUGCAGCCCCCCGCUGCCCUCCUCAGGGGGUCCAGCCGGAGCCGAGCUCCCUGUGGGGCUGCCGGCAGCCGGGCCCCCGCAGCCCCCUCCCUGCGCAGGCGUUGCCAGCCCCCGCCGCAGUGGUGCUGGGCACGUCAGACAGGUUUUAUGGCUUCUCCUGAGAAACUGCUCAGCAAGAGGCUGAGCAAAAGCAUCGACCGCGCCGUGCCCCUCCCCCCCUGCGCUGCUGCCUGCCCUUCCCUCGCCGCACCCCAUCCACGCAUGGGCAGGGGCACCCCAUCCCCCUGGGGGGCUGCAGGGCCUGGCCCCACCAUGGGGGCUGCAAUGGUGCCCAGAAUCUGCCUGGUGCAGAGGGGGGUGUCUGUGUACUCUGGGACAGCCCCCCAUGAGGAGAUGUCCAGAGGGACCCCCAUGGGGGGAUUUUGGCUGGGGGCAUCCCCCAGAGGACCCCCAUGCAGAGGUGUGGGGGCUAAUGAUAACUCAUGGGACCCUCAUGCAGGCAUACUAGGGGGGGGCAACGUGCCCUGCUGGACCCCCGUAGAGAUGGGUGCAGGCAGGCUGUGCCCUGUGGGAGCCCCGUGCUGGAGUGUUGGGGUGACGGUGACCCACGGGACCCUCAUGCGGAGAUUCUGGGGAGGGGUGCCAGUCUCACCUCCCUAG